Molecule: ribosomal RNA, 497 nt
Filed under: uncultured bacterium
Lineage: Bacteria
Description: partial 16S ribosomal RNA
Rfam family: Bacterial small subunit ribosomal RNA
Source: RNAcentral
GACGAACGCUGGCGGCGUGCCUAAUACAUGCAAGUUGAGCGCUGAAGGCUGGUACUUGUACCAACUGGAUGAGCAGCGAACGGGUGAGUAACGCGUGGGGAAUCUGCCUUUGAGCGGGGGACAACAUUUGGAAACGAAUGCUAAUACCGCAUAAAAACUUUAAACACAAGUUUUAAGUUUGAAAGAUGCAAUUGCAUCACUCAAAGAUGAUCCCGCGUUGUAUUAGCUAGUUGGUGAGGUAAAGGCUCACCAAGGCGAUGAUACAUAGCCGACCUGAGAGGGUGAUCGGCCACAUUGGGACUGAGACACGGCCCAAACGCCUACGGGAGGGAGCAGUAGGGAAACUUCGGCAAUGGACGAAAGUCUGACCGAGCAACGCCGCGUGAGGGAAGAAGGUUGUCGGAUCGUAAAAGUCUGUUGGUAGAGAAGAACGUUGGUGAGAGUGGAAAGCUCAGCAAGUGACGGUAACUACCCAGAAAGGGACGGCUAACUACGUG